UCAAAACCACCGAAAAUCUGUAAAAUUAUUCACCGAACAGUUCUGUUGAAAUCUGCGAUGUACGCACACUUAAAAUAAAUCGCAGAUUUCUUACAGAUCACGCCAGAUAGUCAUAUUGCUUCCGAUACUGCUGAGCUGAGAGCGAUAUAUUCUGCCUCACUGGACGACGUAGCCACAGUUGUUUGCUUUUUACUUGACCAGCUGACGAUGUUGCCAAAUAUCAGAAAAGCACAUCCGCUCACCGAUUUACUGGGUCGUAUGAAUAAAAAGUAGCAAAACUCAACGCUUGUAGUAUCUACUCAAAAAUAAAGUCCACAGAGAAAACUACAUGUUUGAUAUGAAUAAAAACAUUUUCGAACUUAUGGCAUAUGCUACAUUCGAACUUAGCCUUUACUACAGUUUACUACCAUUUACUACACGGAGAAACGUCAAAACAAAAUAGACCCCAUGAUGACGAUGAUGAUUUCAUCAUUUUUUGCGGCUAAUCAACAAAAGACAUGUCUGUUUUGUUUGUUUUCCCUAAAUUGGACUUCUAUUUUCAAGAACAAAGCCGAUUCGUUUCGAUUCUGAUGAAUUAUCUGCAUUUGAAACAUGAGUAGCAACGUCUUGAGCAGACUACAAGAAAUCAGUAGUAAACUCUUGUUUUAUUCAUACCGAAUCAGUUGUUUGUAGUAUGUUCGAAAUGUGUAGUGUAGUGAAGUCUCUUUUAUUCAUACGAACAUGUUCCACAAGUGACGUUUACUACUGAAAAUGUAGUAAAGUUGAACUUACUAUCCUCGGUAUCUGAUGCCCAGUCGGCGUCAACGGAACCCACCAAUGGUUUGGCAGAUUUGGUACGCUUGUACUCCAGACAUUUUCCUUUCGUCUUUUUGAUGUGCCGGACUACUCUCUUGAGGCUUUGUCAAUGUUGAAUUGUUGGAGCCUGUUGAAAUCUGCCUAGGAACCCUAUGGGAUAACAAAUAUCCGGCCUGGUUCACAGCAUCACGUACAUCAACGACCCGAGAGGUUCUCUAUAGGGCUGCGUCGUUGAAUCUCCAGAGCGUGUUAGCUGGAUCCUCUUUUCCUAUGGGUGAUUUCACCGGAUUGCAGUCUGUCAUUUCAAAACGGUCUAGAAUCUUAUCGACGGCCGUAAGCUUCCUCGCUUUUCGUUGUACACCAAACGCAUGCCAAGGAAAUGGGUAACUUCUCCACAAUCUGACAUUGCAAACAUCGUAGGUAAACAUUUUUUCAACUCCCUAAUUGUUCCUGGAUUCUUACCGCAAAUCAACGGAUCGUCUACGUAUAGCACAAUGUAUAUUUCAUCUUCGUCUUUAAUUCUAGUGUAAAGGCAAUAGUCAUGUCGGGAGCGUACAAAUCCGAGUUUCAUUAAUUUCUCAUUAAAUUUUUUCCAGCAUCUGGGAGAUUGUUUUAAACCAUACAGAGACUUGAGCAGCCGACAUAUACAGUAUUCGAUGAUGCCUUGACUCCAAGGAUUUUUUCCCCAUGUGUUUUUGCAUAUGCGAUGUUUUCGUGAUUUGGGCACGGAAAAUCAAAAUCCCGGCCCCAUUUAAAAUGCACGGAGACCAAAAUCCGGCGGAAGAUUUUCCCGAGGUUUAAGGUAACCUUCACGUCCAUGUAAUGGAAAGAAAAGCCUAGAUGAACGCCAACGGAUAACACAGUUCGUAUUGUGGCAAGUUUUGCGUCAGGAGCGAAGGUCUCCUCGUAGUCCAGUCCAGACUUUUGGAGAAAACCUUUUGCUACGAGCCGAGCCUUAUAUCGCGUGGAGAUACCGUCCACUUCAUUUUUGACUCGAAACACCCACUUGGCUUUGAAAGGUUUUACACCAUCAGGGCACUUGACAAAGCGCCAAACGUUAUUUGCCGUCAUCGAUCUUAAUUCGUCCUCGGUAGCGAAAGCUGUUUAUCCUCGCGUUGCAUGAUGUCAUCGUAACAUAUGGGGAUAUCUGUGGAGAUUGAGCCGCCAGAAGUUGCUCUAUAAUUUACAAAAAAGUCAAACAACUUACCAGGUAAAAGCACUGUGAAUUUCACUUAUAUUAUUGGUAAGUCGGCUUUACCUAUAUAUGAGUAAAUUAAUUUACUCAAAUUUGGAUGAAAAAAUAAUGUUUUCAUUAGAUUAACGAACCUGUAGUGGCGAUAAGAGUCCUUCAAAACAGAAACGCAGAAACUGUUCGUUGACAAAUAAUGGUCUUUCGAUAUCUAAAAAACGAAUGAAAACUAUCGCAAGAAUGUACCGCGACCACUGUUGUCUUCAAGCGCAGCGGGUUCGUGAAAUUAUUUCCAUAAUCCACAGCCGGAGGUAUACACUAUACAAGAUGAUAAAGACCAAUACCGCUUGCUAGGUAUCCAGCACCCUAACAAGUAGCUGCCGCUUUUCCCAGAGGCCCCGAAGCUAAAAUCUAAUCAGAUACAACCGGUAUCCAAAUCAGAGGAAGCUGAAUUUUCCCAUUCAGUUGGCUCGACGGUAUGGCCUUUAUAACAACUUUUCUCAUGCACCGUGUGACACACGGAUAUUGACCUAAGGACUGCAUCUACUAUUCCGUUACGAGUGGACCAAAUUGCCCAGUAGGUACAUGAAUGGAUUACUGCUGAUUAAUUAGCGGGAAGUACAGGAUUGCGUGCACGCAACAGUCUCCAGGUGUACGACAGGAUUCUUCAAUUCCAACUGAUCGUGCUGCAUCCCAGAAUAUGUCCGCUAUACCUUGAGCCUCUGAGGAGGUUUGGCAUCAUGAUUCCCGUUCCAACUCUUACUAUUAGUGGACCUUGUAAAUUUCUCCGUCAGCUCAUGCUGCAGCGGCUGUUUAAUGCAUUGUUGAUUUAUAAUUUGCUUAAUUGUAUAUUUGUCUUGCUUUAAUAAAUCGGUUUUUACCCGUUUCCAAUUAAA
Long non-coding RNA from Armigeres subalbatus, 2880 nucleotides. RefSeq lists it as uncharacterized. NCBI's taxonomy places the organism in Eukaryota, Metazoa, Arthropoda, Insecta, Diptera, Culicidae. The transcript is spliced from 4 exons. The record is from RefSeq and is a predicted model, not a curated record.